This 2182-nucleotide long non-coding RNA is filed under the name Heterocephalus glaber (naked mole-rat). Its description in RNAcentral is "lncRNA (ENSHGLG00000036450.1)". Lineage: Eukaryota; Metazoa; Chordata; Mammalia; Rodentia; Bathyergidae. The record is from RNAcentral.
CAAAGUCUGGGGAAGGUGCAGCUUUUAGAAGGGCAUGGGGCUGUGUCUGGGGUGGGCAGGAGAGUGGAGGGAACCGAAGUGAUUUCCUGCAGACCGGGGCUGGGAGAUGGGGCCUUGAUCAGCGGCACAGCCCAGUGCUGAGCAAGCCCAGCGCAGUGCUGGCCCACCCGCCCACCCUCAGGCCUUCAGCUUCCUGCAAGUCACAGCUUCCCCUGGGAAGGUCGCCAGGAGAGCCAGGGCAGCGCCACUGCUCGGGCUCGGGCUCGGGCUCGGGCCACAGCCUGUUCCCGGGAGCGCGGUCUGUCCUCCACACACAGCCACCCCCGCAGGCAAGCAGCUCUUCGAAGACUCGUGCAAUAAAUCAUACACAGGAACAACAACAUCCGGCUCAGGGGGAAAGCCAGCUGUGGUGGUGUGCACUUGUGAUCCCAGCGGCUCUGGAGGCUGAGGCAAGAGGACUGCAAGUUUGAGGACAGCCUGGGCAACUUAGUGAGACCCUGUCACAAACAACAGCAACAAAGACACAAAACAGCCAAACAGGGCCAAGAACAGGCAAAGUCGGUGGCAGGGCAGUGGACCAGUCAGACCCACAACCCGCUGGUCACUCCCUACCCACUUCCAGGCACUUCCUCCCGCCCUCCUCUGCUUCCUGGCAGGCUCAUCUUAGGAGUGCUGUCUUAGGAGUGCUGUCUUGUGAAGGGGCUGCUGUCUUACCUGACAGACUGGAGCCUGUGGGUCCUCAAAGUGCUGGUGUACGGGGGGCAUCAACUACAGCUUUUGAUUAAUGAGCACUAGCCGGGGUUCUUAGGUUCUGCAAUCUCAGUCUCCUUUACCCAGAUGUUUGUUGUUCUAGACACCAGAAGGUGACACAGGGCUGGGGGAGGGCGGGACAGCAGAGCCCUGACCUGCAGGAGGAUUGGAAGUCACAAAGGAGAAAAGUGGAUUAAUUUUUGUCCUUUGAAACUUCCUUUGAUUCCUGGUAAUGCUGAAGUGCUUCAGAUCAGUCCUCCCAAUGAACCACUUAGAAAGCUGAGUGGAAUAGAAGAAACCUUCCUGACAGCAUCAACGGGCCAACAAGAGAGGAAGGAGUUGCUGGGGCCGAGCUCAGGAAGUGGCUAGGAGCCCAGAGAAGCGGGCCUGGCCCCCUGGAGUUUGCUAAUCCACAGCAGGGCAGGGCAAACUGGGCUUUGAGUGCUUCAUGGGGUGGGAGCGAAAGCCAGAGUCUAGGGACCCUGGGCACAGAGCUUGACCAGCUGCCUGCUCUGGCCAGACCUAGAAGGACCUCACCGCACAAAGGCGGGGGAAACAAAGGCCUUGAGUGUGGAUCAAGGGAAUUUCCGAAGCAUCAGGUUCCCCAGACACCUGGCAAAGAGGAAGAAAGCCCUCCUCGGGAAAGAGAAUAUCCUCCCAGCCUCACCAGUCUGGAGACACCUUUGCAAACAAUGCUUGGCACACAGCAAAAAAUGACCAGACAGGUGGGGAGCUGGCUCCAAAAGGGACCAAUCAGAGCCACCGAACCAAAGGCAUGCAAAUUACCGGAAUUCUUGAAUUUUCCUCAAAUGGGAGCUUAUUGUUUUGGUGAUCAUCUAUCCUGGAAGAAAUACUUUGCGUUCCAGAACCACUGGGCCCAAGAGGUGAGAACAGCCCCAGCUGCCCCAGGAGCCUGCAUAGGCAGAUACACCGGGGACAGCGGAAGCGCCGGGACCUGCUGACCGGCUGGAGCUGGACCCUGAGGUUCGGCAGAGCCGGCUGGGACCUAAGUGUCCUGCAGGAUGCACGUGGUUUACUGCAAGCUGCUGUCGGAGGGUCCGGCCUCUCCCGCCGGCCCAUCUUCCUGUCCACCUAGUGGGCUGGCCGUGCGGGCCGGGUAAGAGUGAGUGACAGGGUGGCGGCCGGCUCGGCCAGGCUCCGCUGCUGGGGCUGUUUGGAAGCCUUUACUCUGGGCUCCGGCCCGGUCUCCCGAAAGGCCGGCUUUCCAAGCUGGGGGUGUUGGACCCGUCCGGUCCUGUAGGACCGGUCUCCCGGCUGGCGCGGGCAGAGGUCGGGCUGGACCCGGGGACCUCGGGAUCCACGGCUGUCCGGGCCGGUCGCCCGAACCCGGGCUCGGCCUGGAGCGACCCGGGCUCCGUCUCCGACUCCGAGAAAGCCAGGAGGGCGGCCCAGACCGGCGCCUGGGGGGAAG